Molecule: ribosomal RNA, 449 nt
Filed under: uncultured bacterium
Lineage: Bacteria
Description: bacterial SSU rRNA
Rfam family: Bacterial small subunit ribosomal RNA
Source: RNAcentral
GAUGAACGCUGGCGGCGUGCCUAACACAUGCAAGUCGAACGGAGCUGCUUUGAUGAAGUUUUCGGAUGGAUUUAAAACAGCUUAGUGGCGGACGGGUGAGUAACGCGUGGGUAACCUGCCUCACACUGGGGGAUAACAGUUAGAAAUAGCUGCUAAUACCGCAUAAGCGCACAGUUCCGCAUGGAACAGUGUGAAAAACUCCGGUGGUGUGAGAUGGACCCGCGUCUGAUUAGCCAGUUGGCGGGGUAACGGCCCACCAAAGCGACGAUCAGUAGCCGGCCUGAGAGGGUGAACGGCCACAUUGGGACUGAGACACGGCCCAAACUCCUACGGGAGGCAGCAGUGGGGAAUAUUGCACAAUGGGGGAAACCCUGAUGCAGCGACGCCGCGUGAGUGAAGAAGUAUUUCGGUAUGUAAAGCUCUAUCAGCAGGGAAGAAAGUGACGGUAC